GACGAACGCUGGCGGCGUGCUUAACACAUGCAGGUCGAACGGAAAGGCCCUGCUUUUGUGGGGUGCUCGAGUGGCGAACGGGUGAGUAACACGUGAGUAACCUGCCCUUGACUUUGGGAUAACUUCAGGAAACUGGGGCUAAUACCGGAUAGGAGCUCCUGCUGCAUGGUGGGGGUUGGAAAGUUUCGGCGGUUGGGGAUGGACUCGCGGCUUAUCAGCUUGUUGGUGGGGUAGUGGCUUACCGAGGCUUUGACGGGUAGCCGGCCUGAGAGGGUGACCGGCCACAUUGGGACUGAGAUACGGCCCAGACUCCUACGGGAGGCAGCAGUGGGGAAUAUUGCACAAUGGGCGGAAGCCUGAUGCAGCAACGCCGCGUGCGGGAUGACGGCCUUCGGGUUGUAAACCGCUUUCGCCUGUGACGAAGCGUGAGUGACGGUAAUGGGUAAAGAAGCACCGGCUAACUACGUG
Molecule: ribosomal RNA, 468 nt
Filed under: uncultured bacterium
Lineage: Bacteria
Description: partial 16S ribosomal RNA
Rfam family: Bacterial small subunit ribosomal RNA
Source: RNAcentral